Molecule: unclassified non-coding RNA, 244 nt
Filed under: Calycina ellisii
Lineage: Eukaryota; Fungi; Ascomycota; Leotiomycetes; Helotiales; Pezizellaceae
Description: sequence contains 5.8S rRNA gene
Rfam family: 5.8S ribosomal RNA (bases 1-53)
Source: RNAcentral
GAACGCACAUUGCGCCCCUUGGUAUUCCGGGGGGCAUGCCUGUUCGAGCGUCAUUUCAACCCUCAAGCUCUGCUUGGUCUUGGGCCGCGCCGGCAACGGCGGGCCUCAAAAACAGUGGCGGCGCCAUCGUGUCCCUCAGCGUAGUAAUUCUUCUCGCUGUUGGGCCCCGGUGGCCGCUGGCCAGCAACCCCCAAAUUUUCUAUGGUUGACCUCGGAUCAGGUAGGGAUACCCGCUGAACUUAAG